UACGGAGGGUCCAAGCGUUAUCCGGAUUUAUUGGGUUUAAAGGGUCCGCAGGCGGAAAAAUAAGUCAGUGGUGAAAUCCUAUCGCUUAACGAUAGAACUGCCAUUGAUACUGUUUUUCUUGAGUAUACUUGAAGUGGGCGGAAUGUGUCAUGUAGCGGUGAAAUGCAUAGAUAUGACACAGAACACCGAUUGCGAAGGCAGCUCACUAAAUUAUAACUGACGCUCAUGGACGAAAGCGUGGGGAGCAAACAGG
This 253-nucleotide ribosomal RNA is filed under the name uncultured bacterium. RNAcentral's name for it is "partial 16S ribosomal RNA". It matches the Rfam family "Bacterial small subunit ribosomal RNA", at positions 524 to 776 of the family's 1533-position model. The record is from RNAcentral.